GGGUGUGAAGGGGUGCAGGCUGCAACAGCCACCACCCCUUAAUGCCAGGCUGGCUUUGUCUGUUCUGGCUGGCUAGCCUCUUCUGCCCUCACUUCCCCAUGUGCCUCUGCUGCAGGCUGUCAAAGAAGGCAGACUUCCCUGAUGACUGAGCUGUUCUUUGAUGAAGAACGCGCUCUUCUUGGGGGGGUGGGCAGUUAAGCCCAAUAGCAUCAGGGACCUCUUAGAAUACAUCAGUUCCAGCACAUUUGUGACCCUGGGAAAUUACAC
This is an unclassified non-coding RNA of Cricetulus griseus (Chinese hamster), 267 nucleotides long. Its record names the gene 7SK. It matches the Rfam family "7SK RNA". Rfam says of the family: 7SK was discovered as an abundant small nuclear RNA in the mid-70s but a possible function has only recently been suggested. Two independent studies have found that 7SK RNA binds the CDK9/cyclin T complex (known as elongation factor P-TEFb). Lineage: Eukaryota; Metazoa; Chordata; Mammalia; Rodentia; Cricetidae. The record is from Ensembl.